Molecule: ribosomal RNA, 256 nt
Filed under: uncultured bacterium
Lineage: Bacteria
Description: partial 16S ribosomal RNA
Rfam family: Bacterial small subunit ribosomal RNA
Source: RNAcentral
UACGGAGGAGGCAAGCGUUAUCCGGAAUUAUUGGGCGUAAAGCGUCCGCAGGUGGCACUUCAAGUCUGCUGUCAAAGACCGGGGCUUAACCCCAGAAAGGCAGUGGAGACUGAAGUGCUAGAGUGCAGUAGGGGUAGAGGGAAUUCCCGGUGUAGCGGUGAAAUGCGUAGAGAUCGGGAGGAACAUCAGUUGCGAAGGCGGCUCUCUGGACCAGCACUGACACUGAGGCACGAAAGCGAUGGGGAGCAAACAGGGA